UCCCCGAUGGUCUAGUGGUCAUGAGUAAGUCCUCACUUCAUACUCGCCAUUAAGGAUUUAAUAAUUAACAUAUGUAGUUUCCGCUUGUCAUUAUAAUAACGAGCGCGGGAGACCAGGGUUCGAUUCCCUGUCGAGGAG
Molecule: non-coding RNA, 138 nt
Organism: Vermiconidia calcicola
Lineage: Eukaryota; Fungi; Ascomycota; Dothideomycetes; Mycosphaerellales; Extremaceae
Source: the annotation of a GenBank genome assembly